Molecule: ribosomal RNA, 381 nt
Filed under: Rhipicephalus bursa
Lineage: Eukaryota; Metazoa; Arthropoda; Arachnida; Ixodida; Ixodidae
Description: partial large subunit ribosomal RNA
Source: RNAcentral
UUUUAAAUUGCUGUAGUAUUUUGACUAUACAAAGGUAUUGAAAUAAGAUUUUAAUUGAAUGCUAAGAGAAUGGAAUUUCAGAAAAUAGCUUUUUUAAUUUUAAAAAUUGAACUUUUUUUAAUUUGUGCAGAAACAAUUAUUUUAAUUAAGGACAAGAAGACCCUAAGAAUUUUUGAAUUUAAAUAAUAUAUUUAUGUAUUAAUUAAAUUUUAGCUGGGGCGGCUAAGAAAUAUUAAAAACUUUUUAAUUUAAAGCGACCCAUUAUUAAUGAUUAUAUGAAAAAUACUCUAGGGAUAACAGCGUUAUAUUUUUUGAUAGACCAUAUUGACAAAAAAGUUUGCGACCUCGAUGUUGGAUUAGGAUACUUUUUUAAUGAAGACG